CAACGGCCGCGGUAUUUUGACCGUGCAAAGGUAGCGCAAUCACUUGUCUUUUAAAUAAAGACCUGUAUGAAUGGCAUAACGAGGGCUUAACUGUCUCCUUUACCCGGUCAAUGAAAUUGAUCUCCCCGUGCAGAAGCGGGGAUGUUAAUAUAAGACGAGAAGACCCUGUGGAGCUUCAGACAAUAGAGGGAUUUUAUGUAAUAAACCUAAAAAGGAAUAAACAAGUUCACAUUCCCUCCAAUGUCUUCGGUUGGGGCGACCGCGGAGUAAAAAAUAACCUCCAUGAGGAUUAGGGUUUUGACCUUAAACCCCARAACGACAGUUCAAAGAAGCAAAAUUUUUGACCUAAGGAUCCGGCACAGCCRAUCAACGAACCGAGUUACCCCAGGGAUAACAGCGCAAUCCCCUUCAAGAGUCCCUAUCGACAAGGGGGUUUACRACCUCGAUGUUGGAUCAGGGUAUCCUAAUGGUGUAGCCGCUAUUAAGGGUUCGUUUGUUCAACGAUUAAAACCCUACGUG
RNAcentral lists this ribosomal RNA (519 nucleotides) under Leptonotus sp. L2. RNAcentral's name for it is "partial large subunit ribosomal RNA". The record is from RNAcentral. Lineage: Eukaryota; Metazoa; Chordata; Actinopteri; Syngnathiformes; Syngnathidae.